RNAcentral lists this ribosomal RNA (486 nucleotides) under uncultured bacterium. Its description in RNAcentral is "partial 16S ribosomal RNA". It matches the Rfam family "Bacterial small subunit ribosomal RNA", at positions 30 to 507 of the family's 1533-position model. The record is from RNAcentral.
AUUGAACGCUGGCGGCAUGCCUUACACAUGCAAGUCGAACGGCAGCACGGGUGCUUGCACCUGGUGGCGAGUGGCGAACGGGUGAGUAAUACAUCGGUACAUGUCCUUUAGUGGGGGAUAGCCCUGCGAAAGCCGGAUUAAUACCGCAUACGAUCUACGGAUGAAAGCGGGGGACCUUCGGGCCUUGCGCUGUAGGGUUGGCCGAUGGCGGAUUAGCUAGUUGGUGGGGUAAAGGCCUACCAAGGCGACUAUCAGUAGCUGGUCUGAGAGGACGACCAGCCACACUGGGAGUGAGACACGGACCAGACUACUGAGGGAGGCAGCAGUGGGGAAUGUUGGACAAUGGGCGAAAGCCUGAUCCAGCAAUGGCGAGUGUGUGAAGAAGGCGUUCGGGUUGUAAAGCACUUUUUUCCGGAAAGAAAUCCUUGGCCCUAAUACGGUCGGGGGAUGACGGUACCGGAAGAAGAAGCACCGGCUAACUACGUG